GACGAACGCUGGCGGCGUGCUUAAAAACAUGCAAGUCGAACGGACUUCUCAUGAAGCUUGCGAUUGAGAAGUUAGUGGCGGACGGGUGAGUAACGCGUGGGCAACCGUGCCCCUGAGCCCGGGAUAACAGUUCGAAAGGACUGCUAAGACCGGAUAUACUUGCGGUGAAGCAUUUCACUGCAAGGAAAGGGAACGCUCAGGGAUGGGCCCGCGUCCCAUUAGCUAGUUGGUGAGGUAACGGCCCACCAAGGCGACGAUGGGUAGCCGGCCUGAGAGGGUGAACGGCCACACUGGGACUGAGACACGGGCCCAGACUCCUACGGGAGGCAGCAGUUGGGAAUCUUCGGCAAUGGGCGCAAGCCUGACCGAGCAACGCCGCGUGAGUGAUGAAGGUUUUCGGAUUGUAAAGCUCUGUCUUCCGGGACGAUAAUGACGGUACCGGAGGAGGAAGCCACGGCUAACUACGUG
This 468-nucleotide ribosomal RNA is filed under the name uncultured bacterium. RNAcentral's name for it is "bacterial SSU rRNA". It matches the Rfam family "Bacterial small subunit ribosomal RNA", at positions 28 to 507 of the family's 1533-position model. The record is from RNAcentral.